GUACAGUUAAGUUCAGCAGAAAUCUAAAGAGGAUCAAAACUUUUUAGGAAUUGUUAAAAGAAUUUAUGCUUUCCUUGAAUUUAUUUAUAUAAGUCAGUCAGCUUUUCCAUAGCUAGUCCAAGUCUACAUUUCAAUGAAGAUUAUAUGGGUUUCAUAAUUCAGAAAUCUGAAUAUUGAAAACCCAUAUAAAUUUUGAAAACCAUGUGCACUCAACUUGUUAU
Molecule: unclassified non-coding RNA, 221 nt
Filed under: Hevea brasiliensis (rubber tree)
Lineage: Eukaryota; Viridiplantae; Streptophyta; Magnoliopsida; Malpighiales; Euphorbiaceae
Source: RNAcentral